RNAcentral lists this ribosomal RNA (1051 nucleotides) under Lelliottia amnigena. RNAcentral describes it as "bacterial SSU rRNA". It matches the Rfam family "Bacterial small subunit ribosomal RNA", at positions 55 to 1123 of the family's 1533-position model. Lineage: Bacteria; Pseudomonadati; Pseudomonadota; Gammaproteobacteria; Enterobacterales; Enterobacteriaceae. The record is from RNAcentral.
AUGCAGUCGAGCGGUAGCACAGAGAGCUUGCUCUCGGGUGACGAGCGGCGGACGGGUGAGUAAUGUCUGGGAAACUGCCUGAUGGAGGGGGAUAACUACUGGAAACGGUAGCUAAUACCGCAUAACGUCGCAGGACAAAGAGGGGGACCUUCGGGCCUCUUGCCAUCAGAUGUGCCCAGAUGGGAUUAGCUAGUAGGUGGGGUAAUGGCUCACCUAGGCGACGAUCCCUAGCUGGUCUGAGAGGAUGACCAGCCACACUGGAACUGAGACACGGUCCACACUCCUACGGGAGGCAGCAGUGGGGAAUAUUGCACAAUGGGCGCAAGCCUGAUGCAGCCAUGCCGCGUGUAUGAAGAAGGCCUUCGGGUUGUAAAGUACUUUCAGCGAGGAGGAAGGCAUUGUGGUUAAUAACCGCAGUGAUUGACGUUACUCGCAGAAGAAGCACCGGCUAACUCCGUGCCAGCAGCCGCGGUAAUACGGAGGGUGCAAGCGUUAAUCGGAAUUACUGGGCGUAAAGCGCACGCAGGCGGUCUGUCAAGUCGGAUGUGAAAUCCCCGGGCUCAACCUGGGAACUGCAUUCAAACUGGCAGGCUAGAGUCUUGUAGAGGGGGGUAGAAUUCCAGGUGUAGCGGUGAAAUGCGUAAGAUCUGGAGGAAUACCGGUGGCGAAGGCGGCCCCCUGGACAAAGACUGACGCUCAGGUGCGAAAGCGUGGGGAGCAAACAGGAUUAAUACCCUGGUAGUCCACGCCGUCGAUGUCUACUUGGAGGUUGUUCCCUUGAGGAGUGGCUUCCGGAGCUAACGCGUUAAGUCGACCGCCUGGGGAGUACGGCCGCAAGGUUAAAACUCAAUGAAUUGACGGGGGCCCGCACAAGCGGUGGAGCAUGUGGUUUUAUUCGAUGCAACGCGAAGAACCUCUACCUACUCUUGACAUCCAGAACUUCAAGAUGCUUUGGUCCUUCGGAACUCUGAACAGGUGCUGAUGGCUGUCGUCAGCUCGUGGUGAAAUGUGGUUUAUCCCGCACAGCGCACUCUAUUUUCGGUCGGCCGGA